GAUCAACUCACCUUCCACUCAUUUGAUCCCAAAGGACACUAUCAGCCUUUUUAACUGCAGAAUGAAGGCAAGGCUUCCUAUUGUACACCAGCAUAGUGACUGAGGACUGAAGCGGGCACUGGAACUGUACUGCCGCUCCCGGGAGGCCGCACUUACAUGUUGUUGAAGCGGAAAAGGUCAUCGCACGUGAAAGCCCUGAGCGUCGUCAUCUCGCAGCCACCCAGCACUUACUUCCACGAACCUCCGCAGCCACACCGGAAGUUGUCCGGCGGCCUCACCGCAGCAAGGAGAGAGCCACAGAACGGCUUCCGGACCCGAGUUGCUGGGCAACCACAGCAGUGUUGCAGCACCAUCUGGCGGUAGGAGUCCGGAAUGGCCAGACCACGCCUACAAGGUCACAGUUACACAGAACCUGCGCUGUAAAUAAUGAAGGAGGAUGGGAAAAAGAGAGGCCAGGCGCUAGGAAACCAAAGCAGAAAAACAGGAUUCAGGGUCAUUUGCGUUUCCUGUGCCAUAAGAGCAGUAAAAUGAAGCGGAAUGUAAGAACUCCCAGUUCAGAGCAGUCGGCCCCAAUGAUGAGAUCUCAAACUUUCUAACUCCACAUUAAAUAACGUAAAAAGGAAGGCACAGUUAA
This is a long non-coding RNA of Erinaceus europaeus (western European hedgehog), 634 nucleotides long. RefSeq lists it as uncharacterized. The record is from RefSeq and is a predicted model, not a curated record. NCBI's taxonomy places the organism in Eukaryota, Metazoa, Chordata, Mammalia, Eulipotyphla, Erinaceidae. The transcript is spliced from 2 exons.